AUAUUGGUCAAUAGCCUAACGGCUGAACCAGCAACUUGGAAGAAUGUAUAACGAAUAAGUCGUAUAAAAUUCUAGGUAGAAGAAUGAUAGUGACAAUUUUCUAUCUAUAAGUCUUGACCAAAUUACGUGCCAGCAGUCGCGGUAACACGUAGAAGACUAGUGUUAUUCAUCUUUAUUAGGUUUAAAGGGUACCUAGACGGAAAAUCAAGCCAUAAUAGGGACUAAUUUUCUAGAGUUUUAUGAGAGAAGGGGUGAAUUUCCGGAGGAAAGUUGAUAUUUAGUGAUACUGGAAGGACGGGUAACGGCGAAGGCAACCUUGUAUGUAAAAACUGACGUUGAGGGACGAAGCCUUGGGUAACGAGAAGGAUUAGAUACCCUAGUAGUCCUUGGAGACAAUUAUGAAUGUCAUAGGCUAGAUAAUUUAGCCUAUAAAUGAAAGUGUAAGCAUUCCACCUCAUGAGUAAAGCGGCAACGCCCAAAUUGAAAUCAUUAGACCGUUUCUGAAACCAGUAGUGAAGUAUGUUAUUUAAUUCGAUGAUCCGCGAAUAACCUUACCACAAUAUGCAUUGAAUAUUAUUCAAUUAUUACAAGCGCUGCACGGCUGUCUUCAGUUAAUGUCGUGAGAUUUUGGUUCGUUCCUGUA
This 643-nucleotide ribosomal RNA is filed under the name Chaetothyriales sp. A532. RNAcentral describes it as "SSU rRNA". It matches the Rfam family "Bacterial small subunit ribosomal RNA", at positions 361 to 1091 of the family's 1533-position model. The record is from RNAcentral. Lineage: Eukaryota; Fungi; Ascomycota; Eurotiomycetes; Chaetothyriales.